GACGAACGCUGGCGGCGUGCUUAACACAUGCAAGUCGAACGGAAAGGCCCUGCUUUUGCGGGGUGCUCGUGUGGCGAACGGGGGAGUAACACGUGUGUAACCCGCCCUUGUCUUAGGGAUAACUUCAGGAAACUGGGGCUAAUACCGGAGAGGAGCUUCUGCAGCAUGGUGGGGGUUGGAAAGUUACGGCUGUUGGGGAUGGACUCGCGGCUUAUGAGCUUGUUGGUGGGGUAGUGGCGUACCAAGGCUUUGACGGGUAGCCGGCCUGAGAGGGUGACCGGCCACCUUGGUACUGAGGUACGGCGCAGUCGCCUACGUGAGGCAGCAGUGGAGAGUAUUGCACAAUGGGGGGAAGCCUGAUGCAACAACGCCGCGUGCGGGAUGACGGCCUUCGGGUUGUAAACCGCUUUCGCCUGUGACGAAGCGUGAGUGACGGUAAUGGGUAAAGAAGCACCGGCUAACUACGUG
This 468-nucleotide ribosomal RNA is filed under the name uncultured bacterium. Its description in RNAcentral is "partial 16S ribosomal RNA". It matches the Rfam family "Bacterial small subunit ribosomal RNA", at positions 28 to 507 of the family's 1533-position model. The record is from RNAcentral.